This 150-nucleotide non-coding RNA is filed under the name Lachnospira rogosae (ex Hitch et al. 2025). The record is from RNAcentral. Lineage: Bacteria; Bacillati; Bacillota; Clostridia; Lachnospirales; Lachnospiraceae.
UUGCUGAUAUUUCUUAGUCAUUCCCUCCACCAUACAGCAAUGCCCAGACACGAGGUCUGGGCAAGCGACAACUGAGCCACGAUGGCGAAUUUGGAGCGGUGCGUCCGGCACCAUAACUCCACCGGGAAUGACUUAGUAAUAUCCAAUUAU